RNAcentral lists this microRNA precursor (62 nucleotides) under Callorhinchus milii (elephant shark). RNAcentral describes it as "Cmi-Mir-17-P1d_pre stem-loop". The record is from RNAcentral. Lineage: Eukaryota; Metazoa; Chordata; Chondrichthyes; Chimaeriformes; Callorhinchidae.
UAAAGUGCUGACAGGGCAGGUAGUGAGACUUAGAUACCAGCCGCACUGUGGGGGCUUACAGC